UCUCAUGAACUCUUCCCAUAGCAUAAGCGGAAGAUCGGUAGGACGAUCCCGCUUCACUCGCUUCCACCACACCUUCGCCGCUUUCUCAAGGCAAUGGGUGGCAAGAUACACCUUAUCCUUCUCCGAGGUAUUAAGGUCCUCGAAUAGGGUCUCCAUCGAGUCGAUCCACGACUCCACAACCGCCAGCUCCACCAUUCCACCCUCAAAGGUAGGUGGGUUGAACUUCUGGAACUGAAUAAGCGCCGCCAACAUGCGCUCUUGCUCCGCAUCGACUGCC
Molecule: long non-coding RNA, 277 nt
Filed under: Ananas comosus (pineapple)
Lineage: Eukaryota; Viridiplantae; Streptophyta; Magnoliopsida; Poales; Bromeliaceae
Description: long non-coding RNA (ACOM_LNC035397)
Source: RNAcentral